RNAcentral lists this unclassified non-coding RNA (337 nucleotides) under soil metagenome. RNAcentral describes it as "partial contains 5.8S ribosomal RNA, internal transcribed spacer 2, and large subunit ribosomal RNA". The stretch from base 1 to 120 matches the Rfam family "5.8S ribosomal RNA", at positions 35 to 154 of the family's 154-position model. The record is from RNAcentral.
GAUGAAGAACGUAGCGAAAUGCGAUAAGUAGUGUGAAUUGCAGAAUUCAGUGAAUCAUCGAAUCUUUGAACGCACAUUGCGCCCCAUGGUAUCCCGUGGGGCAUGCCUGUUCGAGCGUCAUUUACCCCCUCAAGCUCCGCUUGGUGUUGGGCGUCUGUCCCGCUUCGCGCGCGGACUCGCCCCAAAGGUAUUGGCAGCGGUCGUGCCAGCUUCUCGCGCAGCACAUUGCGCUUCUCGAGGCACCGGUGGGCCCGCGUCCAUCAAGCUCACCCCCCCAGUUUGACCUCGGAUCAGGUAGGGAUACCCGCUGAACUUAAGCAUAUCAAUAAGCGGAGGA